AAGGAGAUCACAGGUCAUUGUCUAACAGGCACGACCCAGCAGGGACCCGAGCAGAAAAUAACAACUGUAAAUGUAAGUAUAUAAAUAAAUAAUAAUAAUAGAAAAUGACAAUGACAAUAAUAUUCAUCAUAAUAUUUGUAGUAAUAUGUAAUAAAAAUAGAAAAUAAAAAUCAAUAAAUAAUAAUAAUAAAAAAAUUAUAAAGGUAAUAAUAAAGAUAAUAAUAAUAAUAAUAAUAAUAAUAAUAAUAAUAAUAAAUAGAUAAGUAAAUAAAAUAAAAAUAAAAAGUUGGGAAUGAAAGUGUCAGAGAACAGCGAUGGAUGAUGUUGUGACUGGUUUGUGGCAGAUUAUGAGCUUAGAAAAGUGAUGAAUGAUAACCAGAUAGGGUUAUGAUUAUUGUCAGAGGAGUUUGUAUUUUCUAAGGAGAUGUAGUCUAUGAGCAGGUUUUUCCAGUGUAUUAUGUGUAUGGAGUUCUGAGACUUCCAGUUCAUGAGGAUAGUUUUCCUGGCGACGGUUAGUGCCACUAGAAGUGAACGUGUGUGAGUUUUGUCAAGUUUUAAUGUAGAUAGGUCUCCUAAUAAACAGAGGGAAGGGGAAAGUGGGAUGUGGCAGCCCAUAAUCUGGGAUAAUGUUUCUGUAAUGUUUCUCCAGAAGUGGUGAACAGGUGUGCAGUGCCAGGUUGCAUGAAUAUAGGUAUCAGUGCAGUUUAGUGAGCAGUGUGAACAAUUUCCAGAUGAUGAGAAGCCCAUUUUUUGCAUUUUGUGUCCAGUCAGAUGAGUUCUGUGAAGGAUUUUGUAUUGUAUGAGUUGUAGAUUGGCAUUUUUCGUCAUGGAGAAAAUGUUCUUGCAGAUUUGGGGCCAGAAGUCGGCAUCAGGAGCAAUGGAGAGAUCAGUUUCCCAUUUUUCUGAAGGUAUGGAGGGUGUUGAGUCGGCCUGUGAUAAUAAUUUGUAUAAUUUGACUUGUGCAGAAGGGGAUGGGUGUUGUAAGGGCUGCCACAGCCAGACUGUUGGUGUUUAAUGGGAGUAUGGAGGAUUUGUUCCAGUUUAUUGAGUAGUCAGAGAGAAGGGAGAAGGAUUUGAUGACACUGAUUACUUCUUGUAGUGAUGAUUUUGGGUUAUCCAUAAAAAGUAAAAUGUCAUCUGCAUAGAGGCUGAUUUUAUGGUGCAUGUUGGGGGUUUGGAUUCCUGUAAUGAGGGGGUUCUGACGGAUGGCUGCUGCUAGGGGUUCAAUGAAAAUGGUGAACAAAGAGGGAGAGAGUGGGCAACCUUGCCUGGAGUGAAGAGUGAAGCUUUGUGAGGUUUGUCCGUUAGUAAUAACUGUGGCUGUAGGUGAGGUGUAAAGUGUUUUAAUCCAGUUAAUAAAUGAUUCCCCAAAGCUGAAACUGUGUAGGGUGUGGAUGAGGAAUGACCAGUUAACUCUGUCAAAGGCUUUUUCUGCAUCCAAGGUGGCUAUGAUUGAGUUAUGGUUAUGUGUGGUUGAGUGGUGCAUUAUAUUGAAUAGUCUGCGUGUGUUAUUGGAUGAGUUUCUUCCUUUAAUAAAUCCUGUUUGAUCCGGGUGAAUAAUGGAUGGAAUAAUUUUUUCUAAUCGGUGGGAAAGUGCCUUGGUGAUAAUUUUAAUGUCAACGUUGAGAAGUGAAAUGGGGCGGUAACUUGAAGGCAGGGUGGGGUCUUUGUUUGGUUGAAGAAGCAGUGAGAUAGAUGCUGUAUUCAUGUUGGGUGGAAGUCUGGAGGUUUGUUGUGUUUCUGUUAUCAUUCUGUGAAAAAGUGGAGCUAAGAUGGACCAGAAGUGUUUGUAGAACUCAGCAGGGAAGCCAUCAGGACCAGGUGCUUUAUUAUUAGGCAUUCUGUUGAGGGCAGAUUGGAUUUCUUCAGUUGUUAGGGGUGUGUCUAAUGUGUUUUUUUGUUCAGGGGAGAGUUGGGGUAAAUUGAGGUUGGUGAGAAAUAGACUGAUGUCUUCUUCCUUAGGGGUGUUAUCUGAGGAGUAUAGGUUGACAUAAAAUUCUCUGAAUAUUUGAUUUAUUUCAUCGGGUGAGUUUGUUGACUUCCCUGCUGAGUUAAUGAUGGUGGAGAUUGUGGAUUUUUCUUUAUUUCUUUUGAUUUGGUUUGCGAGAUAUUUGCCGGAUUUGUUAUUGUGAUGGAAGUUUUCCUGUCGGAGCCUGCUGAUCAUGAAGUUAGUUUUCUUGUUCAGAAUUUCAUUUAUUUCUAGUUUAUAUUUUCUUAAUUUCUUCUCCUUUUCUUCUGUUGGGUUAGUUGCAUUGACAGUUUCUAGCUGUUUGAUUUUUUUCUUGUAAUUCAGAUUCUUGCUUGUUUUCUUUCUUUUUCUUAUGGGCUGAAUAUGAAAUGAUAAUUCCUCUGAUGACUGCUUUACCUGUUUCCCAUAGAAGUGUGGGGGAUGGCCUCUUUACUGUUUAUGCAGGUCUACGGCAGUCAGGCUAUAGUGGCCCCGUUGUUAUUCAUGCAGCUGAUACUGAUGUCUAUGUUGCAGCAUCAGUCAUCUCACAGCAGCUCCCUGGCAUGCUAUGCAUCAAGAGGAACAAAGAGACAGUCCUCUGUCAUGGCUGACAGAAGAGAUGGCACACUGCAUUGUGCAGCUACACUGUUUUACAGGCUGUGAUGCCAACUCAGAAUUUAAUGGCAAAGGAAAAUCAUCAGUCUUUGAGAAGGUGGCAAAGAGCUCUUUGGCACGGCAGCAACUCUCCCGGUGUGGAGAUAGCCUUGACCUUGAAGAGGAGGUAGAACAAGAGCUAUUUGCAUUCACUAGACAGGUGAUCUACGGAGACAAGAAGAGGUGCUACUCUUCUUCAUGGCUGAUGCCUGUGCCUCUAAGUGGAAAGCCAUGAAGAGAAAAUUGUUUAUCCAUCUCCCUCCAGAUGCAGACAGCUUAUGGCAACACUGUCUCCGUGCCAACUACUUGGCAUAUCUAGUGCGCCACCCCACACUAAAGAAUCACCCCUUGCCACUCGGACAUGGUUGGGAAUUGGUGUGUGGUCGCUGUCGUCCUAUCCGCCACACACGGCCUGCUCUCCUGACACACCUACCUGCACCAGGGCCAGUUGAAGAGGAGGAAGAAGUUGAGAGUGAGGAGGAGGAGGAGGAGGAGGAUGUUGCUCAGAGGAGGGUGGAGUCAUCUGAAUCAGGGGCCUCAUGUAUCAACGCUUGCGGCGCAAGAAAACCUUGCGUACGCCAAAAUCGGCGCACACGUCCAGAUUUAUCAUCGCGAAAUGAGCGUCGGUUCCAGCGCUAAUCAACGCAAAGUCAGGAGGUGGUGUAGAAAUUGGCGUUGAGCCGAUACUUGCGUUGACUGUGAUUCUCACUUUGGCGACGCUGUGUGGCGGUGUUUGGUGACUCACUAUGUGACAAGCGUGCACCACAUCCCCGUGGCCGAGCAGCACGUCGCCCCACAUGACGAACCAGCAGCAGACGGAGGGAUGCGAGCUGAUCCCUGCCGGGCCGCCGUCCUCGCGCGGGAGAAUCUCAAAAAAUGAAAAAUGUCAAAAAAAAAAAUUUGGGGGGGUGUUAGGGCUUCCUUUAGGUAAUACCCGGGUAUUGGGUUACGGGGCUAGGGUAAGGUUUAACAUUUUUGGGGUUAGGGUUAAAAUCACUGUCCAAGACAUUUAAGGAAGAUGUUUCAGACCUUUUGGAGUUAGUUAGACCAAAAAAAAAAAAAAAAGAAAAAAAAAAAGUUUGGGGUGUUAGGGCUUCCUUUAGGUAAAAUCCGGGUAUUGGGUUACGGGGCUAGGGUAAGGUUUAAGGUUUUUGGGGUUAGGGUUAAAAUCACUGUCCAAGACCUUUUUAGGAACAUGUUUCAGACCUUUUGGAGUUAAUUAGACCAAAAAAAAAGAAAAAUGUCAAAAAAAAUGUGGGGUUGUUAGGGCUUUUUUUUUUUAAGGUAUUGGGUUACGGGGCUAGGGUUAGGUUUAGGGUUUUGGGAUUAGGGUUAAAAUCACUGCCCAAGACCUUUUAAGGAACAUGUUUCAGACCUUUUGGAGUUAGACCAAAAAAAAAAACGAAAAAAUGAAAAUUUUUUUUUGGGGUUGUUAGGGCUUUUUUUAGGUAAUACCCAGGUAUUGGGUUAGGGGGCUAGGGUAAGGUUUAAGGUUUUUGGCGUUAGGGUUAAAAUCACUGUCCAAAACCUUUUUAGGAACAUGUUUCAGACCUUUUAGAGUUAAUUAGACAAAAAAAAAAGAGAAAAAAAAUAUUUGGGGUUAUAGGGCUUCAUUUAGAUAAUACCCGGGAAUUGGGUUAGGGGUCUAGGGUUAGGGUUAGGGUUUUUGCAUAAGGGUUAAUAUCACUGUCCAAAAACCUUUGAGGAACAUGUUUCAAACCUUUUGGAGUUAGUUUGACCAAAAAAAACGAAAAAUGAAAAAAAAAAUGUUUGGGGUGUUAGGGCUUCUUUUUUGUUAUACUCGGGUAAUGGUUUAAAUAUCCUGGGUUUGGGUUUGGGGUUAGGAUUAAAAUCAAAAAUGAAUUUUUUUUUUUAACCUUACCAGGGGCGCAUUCUUUUUGGGAGCGUGGAUUUAGGGGAUUUCUUGUAGAAGUGGAUGUUGGGGGGGGGGGGGGGGGGUAUUAAGAGUGGGAGUGCAGGGGCCCAAUUGAGGGCCGGGUAAAUGGGGUGUGCAGGGGCCAGAGGGAGGGCUGGGUUUCAAAGGUGUUCAGGGGCCUGAGGAAGAUCCUGGGGCCGGGGAGGGGGUUGCUGGAGAACAGGGUAUCUGGUGAAAGGGCUAGGGUUAGGGUUAUGGGGUUAGGGUAAAAAAUCACUGUCCUAGACUUUUUUAAGAACACGUUUCAAACCUUUAUGAGUUUGUUAGAACAAACAAAAGAGGAAAAAUGUCAAUCUUUUUUUGGGGGUGUCAGGGCUUCCUUUCUGUAACACCUGGGUAUUGGGCUACAGUGCUAUGGUUAGGAUUAUAGGGUCAGGGUUAAAAUCACUGACCAGAACCUUUAUAGGAACAUAUUUCAGACCUUUUGGAGUUAGUUAGAACAGAAAAAAGGAAAAAUGUCAAAACAAAUUUUGGGGGGUGUUAGGGCUUCCUUUAGGUAACACCCGGGUAUUGGGUUACGGGGCUAGGUUUAGGGUUAGGGUUAAAAUCACUGUCCAAAAUACUUUUUAGGA
Molecule: long non-coding RNA, 5110 nt
Filed under: Xyrichtys novacula (pearly razorfish)
Lineage: Eukaryota; Metazoa; Chordata; Actinopteri; Labriformes; Labridae
Source: RNAcentral